Molecule: transfer RNA, 74 nt
Filed under: Methanothermobacter tenebrarum
Lineage: Archaea; Methanobacteriati; Methanobacteriota; Methanobacteria; Methanobacteriales; Methanobacteriaceae
Also listed under: 1 other name
Description: tRNA-Val
Rfam family: tRNA
About the family: Transfer RNA (tRNA) molecules are approximately 80 nucleotides in length. Their secondary structure includes four short double-helical elements and three loops (D, anti-codon, and T loops).
Source: RNAcentral
GGGCCGGUGGUCUAGGGGUUAGGAUACCUCGCUUACAACGAGGUGGUCGCGAGUUCGAAUCUCGCCCGGCCCAC